Molecule: non-coding RNA, 148 nt
Filed under: Homo sapiens (human)
Lineage: Eukaryota; Metazoa; Chordata; Mammalia; Primates; Hominidae
Source: Rfam by way of RNAcentral
GCCAGGCACAGUGGCGUGUGCCUGUAAUCCCAGCUACUCAGGAGGCUGAGGCAGGAGAAUCGCUUGAACCCAGGAGGCAGAGGUUGCAGUGAGCCGAGAUUGUGCCACUGCACUCCAGCCUGGGUGACAGAGCGAGACUCCAUCUCAA